UGUGUGAAACAACAGGAAAUAGAUGAUUGCUCCGCCGAGCAGAGUAAUGCCCCUUCCCACAAAGAUGUCUGUCUCGUCCUUCCCAAAAGUGUGACCACAUCACCUGGAAAGUCGAAGGAGAAUUCAAGCUGUAAACACAAUGAAGCCCGCUAAUGAGUAGACCUUAAGAUAGGAGGAUUAUCCUGAACUUGGUCCAGGAAACAUCUGUGUGUUGACCUUCCAAAGCAUGUUGUGUUCAGCUGAUCGGAGUCCUGGUUUUUCCUCCACUUCUGCUUCAGCUCAUGGCUCUGACACACAACAGUGUAGCUGUAUGAGCUACACCUGGAAAGUGAAAAUCUAGGAGAUUCUACAGUUUCCAGCGGGAUGUUCUGGGGUCAGGCAGCGUGUUCAGACUUUGAGGAAGGAACUGAUGGCGGCCAAGCUCAUAGACUUCAAGAGGAAUGGAAGGCACCAGAGCAGCUUCACGACAGACGGGUUACCCAGCAACGCUGGAGCGUCAGGGAUGGAAGCAGGUGAAGGACGUGCUGUCAUUCCAGGGGCCACACAGGCUGUGCAGAGAGAUCCUCCGUGUCUCGGACCGCUGAAGCACUCCGUGCACAGGGUUCAUGUGGGCCAGCAUAGCUCUCUCUCCAGAAUGGGCUGCACUGUCAUCUCCAACCACUUGCCGUCCUGCGUCUGGAGACGCUUCUGAUGGACGAAGGUCACGUGAGCAUGGCCCCUGCUUCCAGAUUUGGACAAUCGCAUGUGGACAGAAUUGACAGGACUUGAGUUUGAAAAGUACAAGACAUGUGUUCUGCUGGUAUGCACAAGGGAUCACCAUAAGCAUGGGAAUGUCAAAGGGACCAAACACGGAGAAGGUUCAUGUCAUAGAAAUAAUGCUAAGAGACGUCAG
Long non-coding RNA from Mustela erminea (ermine), 892 nucleotides. RefSeq lists it as uncharacterized. NCBI's taxonomy places the organism in Eukaryota, Metazoa, Chordata, Mammalia, Carnivora, Mustelidae. The record is from RefSeq and is a predicted model, not a curated record. The transcript has 5 exons.